Molecule: non-coding RNA, 29 nt
Filed under: Homo sapiens (human)
Lineage: Eukaryota; Metazoa; Chordata; Mammalia; Primates; Hominidae
Source: RNAcentral
UACAAAAGAUGAGAGUGCGCAUGGAAAUG